CCUACGGGUGGCUGCAGUGGGGAAUAUUGGACAAUGGGCGAAAGCCUGAUCCAGCCAUGCCGCGUGUGUGAAGAAGGCCUUCGGGUUGUAAAGCACUUUCAGUGGGGAAGAAGGCCUUGGGGCUAAUACCCUCGAGGAAGGACAUCACCCACAGAAGAAGCACCGGCUAACUCCGUGCCAGCAGCCGCGGUAAUACGGAGGGUGCGAGCGUUAAUCGGAAUUACUGGGCGUAAAGCGCGCGUAGGCGGUCUGAUAAGCCGGUUGUGAAAGCCCCGGGCUCAACCUGGGAACGGCAUCCGGAACUGUCAGGCUAGAGUGCAGGAGAGGAAGGUAGAAUUCCCGGUGUAGCGGUGAAAUGCGUAGAGAUCGGGAGGAAUACCAGUGGCGAAGGCGGCCUUCUGGACUGACACUGACGCUGAGGUGCGAAAGCGUGGGUAGCAAACAGGAUUAGAUACCCUUGUAGUC
Molecule: ribosomal RNA, 465 nt
Filed under: Vreelandella stevensii
Lineage: Bacteria; Pseudomonadati; Pseudomonadota; Gammaproteobacteria; Oceanospirillales; Halomonadaceae
Description: partial 16S ribosomal RNA
Rfam family: Bacterial small subunit ribosomal RNA
Source: RNAcentral